This 414-nucleotide long non-coding RNA is filed under the name Capra hircus (goat). RNAcentral describes it as "lncRNA (ENSCHIG00000004864.1)". Lineage: Eukaryota; Metazoa; Chordata; Mammalia; Artiodactyla; Bovidae. The record is from RNAcentral.
CAACCACAACAAACAGCAGCAGCAGCAUAUCUGUGUGGUGUCUUUCCAGGCAGAAAAUCUUCCUUGUGUUAGUAAGGAUGAGGCUGAACGCUGCCUGUGAACACAGGGUUGUUUAGCGAGUUCUCCAAACAUCAUCUCCAGAGUCAGAAUAGUAUCUUCAGGGAGCAUCAAGACACUGAAGAAAGAAGGUAUCAUCUUCUGGCAAAUGGGCUCUCAGUGUGAAAGCUGCCUCUGUCGGUAACCAGCUAUGUUUCACUAGACAUUCUGCUAAUCUCUCUGAGCUCCAGCUUUCCUUGAUUAGAAAAUUAAAAUGAAAGCACCUAAAUGCAAGAGUUGUUCUGAAGACAGAAUCCAUGUUGACUGAUGUAUGUGGUCAAGACUAGCAUCUCUGGAGGCUCCCUUUUUCCUUGUGCU